This 273-nucleotide ribosomal RNA is filed under the name uncultured bacterium. RNAcentral describes it as "partial 16S ribosomal RNA". It matches the Rfam family "Bacterial small subunit ribosomal RNA", at positions 82 to 354 of the family's 1533-position model. The record is from RNAcentral.
CUUCCGCCGGCGACCGGCGCACGGGUGAGUAACACGUAUGCAACCUGCCCCUGUCAGGGGGACAACCCGCCGAAAGGCGGGCUAAACCCGCGUACAUGCCACCGGGGCAUCCCGGAGGCAGGAAAGGCUUCGGCCGGACAGGGAUGGGCAUGCGGCGCAUUAGGCAGUAGGCGGGGUAACGGCCCACCGUGGCGACGAUGCGUAGGGGUUCUGAGAGGAAGGUCCCCCACACUGGUACUGAGACACGGACCAGACUCCUACGGAAGGCAGCAG